GCCCGGAUGGUCUAGUGGUAUGAUUCGCCCUUAGGGUGGGCGAGGUCCCCAGUUCAAUCCUGGGUUCGGGCC
Molecule: transfer RNA, 72 nt
Filed under: Rhizoctonia solani AG-8 WAC10335
Lineage: Eukaryota; Fungi; Basidiomycota; Agaricomycetes; Cantharellales; Ceratobasidiaceae
Description: tRNA-Pro (AGG) (tRNA-Pro-AGG-1-1, tRNA-Pro-AGG-1-2)
Source: RNAcentral